GCCUGCAGGAGACACUCCCGGCACUAAGUCCGGCAGCCUCGAGCCGCGCGCUGAAGGGCAGCGAAACUUGAGCAGGUGCUGCCACGCUUUGCAAGGCUGGGGUAGAAAAAUGCAGACGGAUCAGCACAGGCAAACAUUGGUAGCACAUUAGAAAAGACAGAUUUCCUACCAACAAAACACGUUUGCACCUGAAGCCUUCUGCUAGACCACACUAAUGCCAGGACAACUCUUUCCAUGUCAUCAAUCGCCGCAGACAUUUGCACAUAAAGCAAUGUUGAACCAACCCCUUGCUCAGGAUUCAGUGUUAUUUUCUACCAGCAUGCUGCCAUACACCUGCUAUUGUACUGAUAGCUGGUCAGGUUCAAUUAAUUUCUUUUAACCCACUCAGAAGUGCCUCUGUAGGUAAUGAAAAGUAUCAUUAAGCUCUUAAGUUUGUAAUAAUAGCAAAAUGUGUCAUUUGAUGUGCACGUUUCCUUUCUGUUUUAUCUGGGCUGUACCUAGCGUCAGCAAACAUCCAACAUUAAUGGGUGUUGUUUCUCUGAUCAGCUAACUUAAAGAGUGUUAGGAGGGCUGGGAAAGGGGAAUGCUUGGGCCAGGUUUGGGAAAGUAGCUUUGAGAGACAAGGCUCGAUAUCAGUAAGCAUAUGAAUAACAUAUUUAUGGAAUCAGCAAAAGCAGGUGUAUUCAAUCUAAUCAGAAGUUCAAUCUAUAUGUAUGCUAAUGCACCACAUAUUAAAUUCAUUGGCUUUACUUCCUUUGAAUUACUAAUAAAUACUUUUCCAAAG
This is a long non-coding RNA of Cygnus olor (mute swan), 784 nucleotides long. RefSeq lists it as uncharacterized. The record is from RefSeq and is a predicted model, not a curated record. NCBI's taxonomy places the organism in Eukaryota, Metazoa, Chordata, Aves, Anseriformes, Anatidae. The transcript has 2 exons.